AAAUGAAAAGUGAAGAAUCACAAUCAGUUUCGACCUGAAAAUUGACACGCAAAUGUCUUCAUUUA
RNAcentral lists this transfer RNA (65 nucleotides) under Psolodesmus mandarinus. Its description in RNAcentral is "tRNA-Arg". The record is from RNAcentral. Lineage: Eukaryota; Metazoa; Arthropoda; Insecta; Odonata; Calopterygidae.